AUGAAUUCCUCUUCUCCUGCAAAUUCUCCUUCGUUGUGUUCAAAUUUAUCUUUGUGACUCUGAGUGGAAAGACAAGUACAGUAAAUUGAAAGAUGGCUACACAAAGCUUGAAGAUAGAAGAAAUGCUCUUCGUAGAGGUCUCUCCAUUUACGAGGAACAAGUCUCCAAAAUGCAGGCAGAAAAUUUGUCUCUCAGGAAAAAUCUUGAG
Molecule: unclassified non-coding RNA, 208 nt
Filed under: Hevea brasiliensis (rubber tree)
Lineage: Eukaryota; Viridiplantae; Streptophyta; Magnoliopsida; Malpighiales; Euphorbiaceae
Source: RNAcentral